Molecule: ribosomal RNA, 433 nt
Filed under: uncultured bacterium
Lineage: Bacteria
Description: partial 16S ribosomal RNA
Rfam family: Bacterial small subunit ribosomal RNA
Source: RNAcentral
AGCGAACGCUGGCGGCAGGCCUAACACAUGCAAGUCGAACGGACCCUUCGGGGUUAGUGGCGGACGGGUGAGUAACACGUGGGGACGUGCCUUUAGGUUCGGAAUAGCUCCUGGAAACGGGUGGUAAUGCCGAAUGUGCCCUUCGGGGGAAAGAUUUAUCGCCUUUAGAGCGGCCCGCGUCUGAUUAGCUAGUUGGUGAGGUAACGGCUCACCAAGGCGACGAUCAGUAGCUGGUCUGAGAGGAUGACCAGCCACACUGGGACUGAGACACGGCCCAGACUCCUACGGGAGGCAGCAGUGGGGAAUCUUGCGCAAUGGGCGAAAGCCUGACGCAGCCAUGCCGCGUGAAUGAUGAAGGUCUUAGGAUUGUAAAAUUCUUUCACCGGGGACGAUAAUGACGGUACCCGGAGAAGAAGCCCCGGCUAACUUCGUG